RNAcentral lists this ribosomal RNA (254 nucleotides) under uncultured bacterium. Its description in RNAcentral is "partial 16S ribosomal RNA". It matches the Rfam family "Bacterial small subunit ribosomal RNA", at positions 524 to 776 of the family's 1533-position model. The record is from RNAcentral.
UACGGGGGGAGCAAGCGUUGUUCGGAUUUACUGGGCGUAAAGGGCGCGUAGGCGGCCACCGCAAGUCGGUUGUGAAAUCUCUGGGCUUAACCCAGAAAGGUCAACCGAUACUGCGGGGCUAGAGUGCAGAAGGGGCAACUGGAAUUCUCGGUGUAGCGGUGAAAUGCGUAGAUAUCGAGAGGAACACCUGCGGCGAAGGCGGGUUGCUGGGCUGACACUGACGCUGAGGCACGAAAGCUAGGGGAGCAAACAGG